This 531-nucleotide long non-coding RNA is filed under the name Solanum tuberosum (potato). RNAcentral describes it as "long non-coding RNA (STUB_LNC007183)". The record is from RNAcentral. Lineage: Eukaryota; Viridiplantae; Streptophyta; Magnoliopsida; Solanales; Solanaceae.
GUUAAAAAAUAUAUAAAAAUCAAGAAAUAGCCAUAAAAACAGCCUAAAAAAAUCUCAAAUCGCACUAGUUACCUUAGAAUAUCGAUACAAAUAAAAAAUUAAAUUUUCACAUUAUUUCGUGACCACUCAAAAAAUAACAAAAAUUUUAUUUCGUAAACGUCCGAAAAAUAUAAAAAUUAAGAAAAAGACAUAAAAAUACCUCAAAAAAAUCCCGAAUCGCACCAGUCACCUCAGAAUAUUGACACAAAUAAAAUUUCAAAAUUUCACAUUUUUUAGUGACUAACCGAAAAAUAUCAAAAAAUUUAGUUCGUAAACCUUCGAAAAAUAUAAAAAUCAAGAAAAAGACAUAACAACACCUAAAAAGUUCUCGAAUCGCACCAGUCACUUAGAAUACAAUACGAAUAAAUUAUCAAAAUUUCACAUUUUUUCGUGACCGCCCGAAAAAUAUCAAAAAAUUUAGUUCGUAAACCUUCGAAAAAUAUAAAAAUCAAGAAAAAGACAUAAAAAAUUCCUCAAAAAAUUCAUGAAUCG